RNAcentral lists this ribosomal RNA (253 nucleotides) under uncultured bacterium. Its description in RNAcentral is "partial 16S ribosomal RNA". It matches the Rfam family "Bacterial small subunit ribosomal RNA", at positions 524 to 776 of the family's 1533-position model. The record is from RNAcentral.
UACGUAGGGUGCGAGCGUUAAUCGGAAUUACUGGGCGUAAAGUGUGCGCAGGCGGCCGCGCAAGUCGAGUGUGAAAGCCCCGGGCUUAACUUGGGAAUUGCGCUCGAAACUACGUGGCUGGAGUGUGGCAGAGGAAGGUGGAAUUCCACGUGUAGCGGUGAAAUGCGUAGAGAUGUGGAGGAACACCAAUGGCGAAGGCAGCCUUCGGGGCCAACACUGACGCUCAUGCACGAAAGCGUGGGGAGCAAACAGG